GACGAACGCUGGCGGCGUGCCUAAUACAUGCAAGUCGAACGCAUUUUCUUUCACCGUAGCUUGCUACACCGAAAGAAAAUGAGUGGCGAACGGGUGAGUAACACGUGGGUAACCUGCCCAUCAGCGGGGGAUAACACUUGGAAACAGGUGCUAAUACCGCAUAAUUCCAUUUACUGCAUGGUAGAUGGAUGAAAGGCGCUUUUGCGUCACUGAUGGAUGGAGUCGCGGUGCAUUAGCUAGUUGGUGGGGUAACGGCCUACCAAGGCUGCGAUGCAUAGCCGACCUGAGAGGGUGAUCGGCCACACUGGGACUGAGACACGGCCCAGACUCCUACGGGAGGCAGCAGUAGUGAAUCUUCGGCAAUGGACGCAAGUCUGACCGAGCAACGCCGAGUGAGUGAAGAAGGUUUUCGGAUCGUAAAACUCUGUUGUUAGAAAAGAACAAGGAUGAGAGUGGAAAGUUCAUCCCUUGACGGUAUCUAACCAGAAAGCCACGGCUAACUACGUG
RNAcentral lists this ribosomal RNA (507 nucleotides) under uncultured bacterium. Its description in RNAcentral is "partial 16S ribosomal RNA". It matches the Rfam family "Bacterial small subunit ribosomal RNA", at positions 28 to 507 of the family's 1533-position model. The record is from RNAcentral.